RNAcentral lists this ribosomal RNA (468 nucleotides) under uncultured bacterium. RNAcentral's name for it is "partial 16S ribosomal RNA". It matches the Rfam family "Bacterial small subunit ribosomal RNA", at positions 28 to 507 of the family's 1533-position model. The record is from RNAcentral.
GACGAACGCUGGCGACGUGCUUAACACAUGCAAGUCGAACGGAAAGGCCCUGCUUUUGUGGGGUGCUCGAGUGGCGAACGGGUGAGUAACACGUGAGUAACCUGCCCUUGACUUUGGGAUAACUUCAGGAAACUGGGGCUAAUACCGGAUAGGAGCUCCUGCUGCAUGGUGGGGGUUGGAAAGUUUCGGCGGUUGGGGAUGGACUCGCGGCUUAUGAGCUUGUUGGUGGGGUAGUGGCUUACCAAGGCUUUGACGGGUAGCCGGCCUGGGAGGGUGACCGGGCACAUUGGGACUGAGAUACGGCCCAGACUCCUACGGGAGGCAGCAGUGGGGAAUAUUGCACAAUGGGCGGAAGCCUGAUGCAGCAACGCCGCGUGCGGGAUGACGGCCUUCGGGUUGUAAACCGCUUUCGCCUGUGACGAAGCGUGAGUGACGGUAAUGGGUAAAGAAGCACCGGCUAACUACGUG